RNAcentral lists this ribosomal RNA (848 nucleotides) under Kocuria sp. RNAcentral's name for it is "bacterial SSU rRNA". It matches the Rfam family "Bacterial small subunit ribosomal RNA", at positions 56 to 914 of the family's 1533-position model. The record is from RNAcentral. Lineage: Bacteria; Bacillati; Actinomycetota; Actinomycetes; Micrococcales; Micrococcaceae.
UGCAAGUCGAACGAUGAUGCCCAGCUUGCUGGGCGGAUUAGUGGCGAACGGGUGAGUAAUACGUGAGUAACCUGCCCUUGACUCUGGGAUAAGCCUGGGAAACUGGGUCUAAUACUGGAUACUACCUCUUACCGCAUGGUGGGUGGUGGAAAGGGUUUUACUGGUUUUGGAUGGGCUCACGGCCUAUCAGCUUGUUGGUGGGGUAAUGGCUCACCAAGGCGACGACGGGUAGCCGGCCUGAGAGGGUGACCGGCCACACUGGGACUGAGACACGGCCCAGACUCCUACGGGAGGCAGCAGUGGGGAAUAUUGCACAAUGGGCGGAAGCCUGAUGCAGCGACGCCGCGUGAGGGAUGACGGCCUUCGGGUUGUAAACCUCUUUCAGUAGGGAAGAAGCGAGAGUGACGGUACCUGCAGAAGAAGCGCCGGCUAACUACGUGCCAGCAGCCGCGGUAAUACGUAGGGCGCAAGCGUUGUCCGGAAUUAUUGGGCGUAAAGAGCUCGUAGGCGGUUUGUCGCGUCUGCUGUGAAAGCCCGGGGCUCAACCCCGGGUCUGCAGUGGGUACGGGCAGACUAGAGUGCAGUAGGGGAGACUGGAAUUCCUGGUGUAGCGGUGAAAUGCGCAGAUAUCAGGAGGAACACCGAUGGCGAAGGCAGGUCUCUGGGCUGUUACUGACGCUGAGGAGCGAAAGCAUGGGGAGCGAACAGGAUUAGAUACCCUGGUAGUCCAUGCCGUAACGUUGGGCACUAGGUGUGGGGGACAUUCCACGUUUUCCGCGCCGUAGCUAACGCAUUAAGUGCCCCGCCUGGGGAGUACGGCCGCAAGGCUAAAACUCAAAGGAAUUGAC